RNAcentral lists this ribosomal RNA (494 nucleotides) under uncultured bacterium. RNAcentral's name for it is "partial 16S ribosomal RNA". It matches the Rfam family "Bacterial small subunit ribosomal RNA", at positions 28 to 507 of the family's 1533-position model. The record is from RNAcentral.
GACGAACGCUGGCGGCGUGCUUAACACAUGCAAGUCGAACGGUGAAGCGCCUUCCUUUUUGGUGGGUGUGGAUGAGUGGCGAACGGGUGAGUAACACGUGAGUAACCUGCCCCCUUCUUCUGGAUAACCGCAUGAAAGUGUGGCUAAUACGGGAUAUUCUGGGUCUGUCGCAUGAUGGGUCUGGGAAAGAUAUUGUUUCGGUGGGUGAUGGGCUCGCGGCCUAUCAGCUUGUUGGUGGGGUGAUGGCCUACCAAGGCGGUGACGGGUAGCCGGCCUGAGAGGGUGGACGGUCACACUGGGAAUGAGACACGGCCCAGACUCCUACGGGAGGCAGCAGGGGGGAAUAUUGCACAAUGGGCGCAAGCCUGAUGCAGCGACGCCGCGUGAGGGAUGGAGGCCUUCGGGUUGUGAACCUCUUUCGCCAGUGAAGCAGGCCUGCCUCGUUUGUGGGUGGGUUGACGGUAGCUGGAGAAGAAGCGCCGGCUAACUACGUG